GACGAACGCUGGCGGCGUGCUUAACACAUGCAAGUCGAACGGAAAGGCCCUGCUUUUGUGGGGUGCUCGAGUGGCGAACGGGAGAGUAACACGUGAGUAACCUGCCCUUGACUUUGGGAUAACUUCAGGAAACUGGGGCUAAUACCGGAUAGGAGCUCCUGCUGCAUGGUGGGGGUUGGAAAGUUUCGGCGGUUGGGGAUGGACUCGCGGCUUAUCAGCUUGUUGGUGGGGUAGUGGCUUACCAAGGCUUUGACGGGUAGCCGGCCUGAGAGGGUGACCGGCGACAUUGGGACUGCGAUACGGCCCAGACUCCUACGGGAGGCAGAAGUGGGGAAUAUUGCACAAUGGGCGGAAGCCUGAUGCAGCAACGCCGCGUGCGGGAUGACGGCCUUCGGGUUGUAAACCGCUUUCGCCUGUGACGAAGCGUGAAUGACGGUAAUGGGUAAAGAAGCACCGGCUAACUACGUG
Molecule: ribosomal RNA, 468 nt
Filed under: uncultured bacterium
Lineage: Bacteria
Description: partial 16S ribosomal RNA
Rfam family: Bacterial small subunit ribosomal RNA
Source: RNAcentral